UACGAAGGGGGCUAGCGUUGCUCGGAAUCACUGGGCGUAAAGCGUGCGCAGGCGGUUUUGUAAGUCUGUCGUGAAAUCCCCGGGCUCAACCUGGGAAUGGCGAUGGAGACUGCAAGGCUAGAGUUUGGCAGAGGGGGGUAGAAUUCCACGUGUAGCAGUGAAAUGCGCAGAUAUGUGGAGGAACACCGAUGGCGAAGGUAGCCCCCUGGGUCAAAACUGACGCUCAUGCACGAAAGCGUGGGGAGCAAACAGG
RNAcentral lists this ribosomal RNA (253 nucleotides) under uncultured bacterium. Its description in RNAcentral is "partial 16S ribosomal RNA". It matches the Rfam family "Bacterial small subunit ribosomal RNA", at positions 524 to 776 of the family's 1533-position model. The record is from RNAcentral.